AGUGACUAAAGCAAUCAGUGCCGAAGAGAGUAAACUCCAAGAGCUGCCCUCUGUUAUCGCCGAUUUGACACGGGAGAGGCAGCGACUGGCUCAUGAGGCCCUGAGACUUCAUCGCAGCGCAUCGGAGGUCCCUGGAUCGGCGGAAGAAGACCAACGGGUUCUUGAUUCUGCCGAUCAGAUCCGGCGUCGGGCCAUCACGGCUAUCGAUACCCUUCUGGGUAAUCUGUAAA
Molecule: long non-coding RNA, 230 nt
Filed under: Setaria italica (foxtail millet)
Lineage: Eukaryota; Viridiplantae; Streptophyta; Magnoliopsida; Poales; Poaceae
Description: long non-coding RNA (SITA_LNC003472)
Source: RNAcentral